AAUCUUCCACACUGGGCGAAAGCCUGAUGGAGCAACGCCGCGUGAGUGAAGAAGGUUUUCGGAUCGUAAAACUCUGUUGUAAGGGAAGAACACGUACAGUAGUAACUGGCUGUACCUUGACGUUACCUUAUUACAAAGCCCCGGCUAACUACGUGCCAGCAGCCGCGGUAAUACGUAGGUGGCAAGCGUUGUCCGGAAUUAUUGGGAGUAAAGCGCGCGCAGGUGGUUUCUUAAGUCUGAUGUGAAAGCCCACGGAUCAACCGUGGAGGGUCAUUGGAAACUGGGAGACUUGAGUGCAGAAGAGAAUAGGGGAAUUGCAAGUGUAGCGGUGAAAUGCGUAGAGAUUUGGAGGAAAACCAGUGGCGAAGGCGACUAUCUGGUCUGUAACUGACACUGAGGCGCGAAAGCGUGGGGAGCAAACAGG
This 424-nucleotide ribosomal RNA is filed under the name uncultured bacterium. RNAcentral's name for it is "partial 16S ribosomal RNA". It matches the Rfam family "Bacterial small subunit ribosomal RNA", at positions 360 to 776 of the family's 1533-position model. The record is from RNAcentral.